CUCAAGUAUGGAAGAGUUUUUGUAAUGCUCUCAGUGCCCCUGUGAGCCUGUCCUCUGGUUACCACCCUCAGUCCUAUGGGCAAAGUGAAGGCUGCAAUCACGAAUCGGAGGUGUCCCUACGGUGCAUCUGUUACAAAAACCCCUCCACCUGGUCUCAACAUCUUGGCUGGGUCCAGGAGAAUUUGGCGACAGACCAAGGAGGCUCUCCUAAGGACUGCUGACCAAAACAAAGAGGUAGCAGACCAACAUCGCUCAGAGGCGCCGAACUACCAAGUUGGCCAGAAGGUUAAGCCAGUUACCGGGAGUCCGCUCUGCCCACCUGCCAAACUCCCCCUUCCCGCCCGGAUUAUUGAUGACCAACCAGCCUAACCUGUUAACCGUAUCUUGGACGUUUGACGAAGAGGACGAGGAUUCCAGUAUCUGGUUGACUGGGAAGGCUAUGGACCAGAGGAACGAUCUUGGAUUCCUUGUUCCUUCAUAUUAGAUCCCACCCUUAUCUCGGAUUUCUACAGAGACCAUCCGGAGAAGCAGUGUGAAUCAUCUGGAGACGAUUCCUAGGAGGAGGGUGGAUUAUCCACGUGCCUCGGAUUAUCAGCCAUCAAGUGGAACCCUCGAAUCUGGAAGUAAAUAAGGAACCAAUCUUCUACCAUUGUCCAAAGGAUACUUCACCUGCCACCAAGCCACUCUGCCUGAAGAUCACUUUCUCUGGAAAAGUCUCUCCUCUGGUCUAUGCUGCUUGCCUUCAAAUAUCCUCAAGAUGUCCAUGAUCUUCACCAGUAAAUAAUGCUCACUUGAUCUUCACCUGUAAAUAAAUAUUCAUUUACCUUUGA
This is a long non-coding RNA of Austrofundulus limnaeus, 830 nucleotides long. RefSeq lists it as uncharacterized. Lineage: Eukaryota; Metazoa; Chordata; Actinopteri; Cyprinodontiformes; Rivulidae. The record is from RefSeq and is a predicted model, not a curated record. The transcript is spliced from 5 exons.